RNAcentral lists this long non-coding RNA (535 nucleotides) under Olea europaea subsp. europaea. The record is from RNAcentral. Lineage: Eukaryota; Viridiplantae; Streptophyta; Magnoliopsida; Lamiales; Oleaceae.
UGCCGGUUUUUACUUCUUGCAGGUCCCAGGUUCGAUUCUUCAUCACUGGCGGAUCCAGCACCUGGCGAGCACCCGCCGCCGUGCGUGCUGGAUUCGCCGACAGCCAUUUUUUUUGUUUGAGAAUAGAUGAAUUUUUAGGUUAUAUUUCUGAUUAUCAUUUUCCAUUCAAUCAUUCCCUCUGGCCAAGUUGGUGAGUGCCGAUUUUUACUUCUUGCAGGUCCCAGGUUCGAUUCUUCAUCACCGGCGGAUCCAGCACCUGGCGAGCACCCGCGGCCGAACGUGCUGGAUCCGCCGGCAGCCAUUUUUUUUGUUUGAGAAGAGAUGAAUUUUUAGGUUGUAUUUCUGAUUAUCAUUUUCCAUUCAAUCAUUCCCUCUAGCCAAGUUGGUGAGUGCCGAUUUUUACUUCUUGCAGGUCCCAGGUUCGAUUCUUCAUCACUGGCGGAUCCAGCACCUGGCGAGCACCCGCGGUCGCGUGUGCUGGAUCCGCCGGCAGCCAUUUUUUUUGUUUGAGAAUAGAUGAAUUUUUAGGUUAUAU